RNAcentral lists this ribosomal RNA (652 nucleotides) under Bifidobacterium breve. RNAcentral's name for it is "bacterial SSU rRNA". It matches the Rfam family "Bacterial small subunit ribosomal RNA", at positions 879 to 1533 of the family's 1533-position model. Lineage: Bacteria; Bacillati; Actinomycetota; Actinomycetes; Bifidobacteriales; Bifidobacteriaceae. The record is from RNAcentral.
AGUACGGUCGCAAGAUUAAAACUCAAAGGAAUUGACGGGGACCCGCACAAGUAGCGGAGCAUGUGGUUUAAUUCGAAGCAACGCGAAGAACCUUACCUACACUUGACAUCCCUUGCAUUACUCUUAAUCGAGGAAAUCCCUUCGGGGACAAGGUGACAGGUGGUGCAUGGUUGUCGUCAGCUCGUGUCGUGAGAUGUUGGGUUAAGUCCCGCAACGAGCGCAACCCUUGUCGUUAGUUACUACCAUUAAGUUGAGGACUCUAGCGAGACUGCCUGGGUUAACCAGGAGGAAGGUGGGGAUGACGUCAAAUCAUCAUGCCCCUUAUGUGUAGGGCUACACACGUGCUACAAUGGCUGGUACAGAGAGAUGCAAUACCGUGAGGUGGAGCCAAACUUUAAAACCAGUCUCAGUUCGGAUUGUAGGCUGAAACUCGCCUACAUGAAGCUGGAGUUACUAGUAAUCGCGAAUCAGAAUGUCGCGGUGAAUACGUUCCCGGGUCUUGUACACACCGCCCGUCACACCAUGAGAGUUGGCAAUACCCGAAGUCCGUGAGCUAACCGCAAGGAGGCAGCGGCCGAAGGUAGGGUCAGCGAUUGGGGUGAAGUCGUAACAAGGUAGCCGUAGGAGAACCUGCGGCUGGAUCACCUCCUUU